GACGAACGCUGGCGGCGUGCUUAACACAUGCAAGUCGAACGGAAAGGCCCUGCUUGCAGGGUACUCGAGUGGCGAACGGGUGAGUAACACGUGGGUGAUCUGCCCUGCACUUCGGGAUAAGCCUGGGAAACUGGGUCUAAUACCGGAUAGGAGCCAUUUUUAGUGUGAUGGUUGGAAAGUUUUUUCGGUGUAGGAUGAGCUCGCGGCCUAUCAGCUUGUUGGUGGGGUAAUGGCCUACCAAGGCGGCGACGGGUAGCCGGCCUGAGAGGGUGGACGGCCACAUGGGGACUGAGAUACGGCCCAGACUCCUACGGGAGGCAGCAGUGGGGAUUAUUGCACAAUGGGCGCAGGCCUGAUGCAGCGACGCCGCGUGGGGGAUGACGGCCUUCGGGUUGUAAACUCCUUUCGCUAGGGACGAAGCUUUUUGUGACGGUACCUAGAUAAGAAGCACCGGCUAACUACG
RNAcentral lists this ribosomal RNA (463 nucleotides) under uncultured bacterium. Its description in RNAcentral is "partial 16S ribosomal RNA". It matches the Rfam family "Bacterial small subunit ribosomal RNA", at positions 28 to 505 of the family's 1533-position model. The record is from RNAcentral.